UUUUUUAGGAUCAUGAAUACUUAAUUUUGUAUAAUCUUGACCUUGACCAUUUCAUGGUUCUUUGGUCGUCAAUUUUAUGGUUUGGUGCUUAGUUCUGUUUCACAUACAUUUUAUACUAUAAACAAUGAGUCAAAUUAUAUUUGGUGUAAUAAAUGUGGAUUAAGUUGAACAUGUACAUUUGGGAACUUUAUUUAACAUUGACCUCAUUUUCAUGGUUCUUAUGUCAACAUUAAGUUUUCACUAUUAUGUCUGUUUCUCAGACACCAUAGGUGAACUUGAUUUGAUAUAAUAUUUGGAUAAUUGGUGAUGUAAAAUUUAUGUGAUAUCUAUAGUGAAACCAAUUAUUGUAAAGAAUAUAAAUUCAAUUCUGAUCUGUUAAGCAUGCAAGACAAUUUAGCAUGUGUACAAUUUAUAUACGAAACAUGAAAUCCAAAAUAGAAUAUUUUUUCAAAAGACAAGUGUUAUCAAUCAUUUCAAAUUAAUAACAAAUUGUGUAAUUUUACAUUUGAUAUAUAUGUAAGGUCUCAGGAGUUAUUUAUAGAGUUGCUCAAAUAUUUUUUUUGUCUAAGUGCCUUAAAUGAAAUCAAACAGUUUUUGUAUUGGAAGAAAUUAAAUGUUUCUAAUAUCUUAGUUCACAAUUUUUAUUUUGUCAACAAGAGAGCUCCUUGUUUUGUUUCCAACCCAGGACUUGGUUUCACAAAAAAUCUUACGACUAAAAUUUAUUUUAAGUAUACUGAAUUGUUCAUAACUUAAGAUCUAUCUUAAUCGUAAGACUUUUUGUGAAAACCAACCUCAGAUUUUUGAAAUUUCACAAAGAGUUUUUAAUCCCUCAAAAAUUUUAGUCCAACCCAGUUGAAUGAGUAUUGGAUAGAUUUUUAGAACUAUCAAAAUACAAAUACAAACAAAUAUGGAUGUUUCAUGUGAAUAAAAGGAGAUGUAGAUUAAGUGAAACUGAAACCAAAAGUUCAAACUUAAAACAAAUCUGCAAAGGGAAGAAUGCAAUUGAAUUAUUUUAUUUUGGAUAGUGACCUAAGCUAAAUCACUGCUUAGAAUGCUAAUUAUACAAUCACAAAUUAUCACACUUUUUAUAAUGUAUUGUUAUUGUUACUUAGUGUAUAUGAUUUUUUUUUGUUAUCUAUACAGUAUAUCCAACUUUAUCAAUAAAUAUAAUGAUAGGAA
RNAcentral lists this long non-coding RNA (1179 nucleotides) under Mytilus galloprovincialis (Mediterranean mussel). Lineage: Eukaryota; Metazoa; Mollusca; Bivalvia; Mytilida; Mytilidae. The record is from RNAcentral.